UAAAGCGAUUCAGCGGGUUACGAUUGACGGAGCGAAGCGACGUCAAAGCGUAUACAAAGUCGAGUCGGUUUAAGGAUACGUUCGUUGGGUAGGGGAGCGUUCUGUAAGCCUGUGAAGGUGGCCUGUGAGGGUUGCUGGAGGUAUCAGAAGUGCGAAUGCUGACAUAAGUAACGAUAAAGCGGGUGAAAAGCCCGCUCGCCGGAAGACCAAGGGUUCCUGUCCAACGUUAAUCGGGGCAGGGUGAGUCGACCCCUAAGGCGAGGCCGAAAGGCGUAGUCGAUGGGAAACGGGUUAAUAUUCCCGUACUUGGUGUUACUGCGAAGGGGGGACGGAGAAGGCUAUGUUGGCCGGGCGACGGUUGUCCCGGUUUAAGCGUGUAGGUGUGUGUUCCAGGUAAAUCCGGUU
RNAcentral lists this ribosomal RNA (405 nucleotides) under Salmonella enterica subsp. enterica serovar Typhimurium. Its description in RNAcentral is "partial 23S ribosomal RNA". It matches the Rfam family "Bacterial large subunit ribosomal RNA", at positions 1163 to 1547 of the family's 2925-position model. RNAcentral also lists the same sequence under 1 other name. The record is from RNAcentral. Lineage: Bacteria; Pseudomonadati; Pseudomonadota; Gammaproteobacteria; Enterobacterales; Enterobacteriaceae.